CAGGGGGAGAGUGAGAAAGAGAGUGAGAUCGACCUGUUAAGUUGGUUACCAAUGCCAGGCCCGGAAGCAGACCCAACAGAAAAAGUUAGCCUUGCCACCGAGCAUGUUUCAUCCACUCCAGAACAAUCUAGUCCGCUGCAUGAGCCUAUAUCUUCUCCGCCACUGAUAUCUGAGGUAAGAUCUUCUGAACCUACUAUUGUGGCU
Molecule: long non-coding RNA, 204 nt
Filed under: Salvia miltiorrhiza (redroot sage)
Lineage: Eukaryota; Viridiplantae; Streptophyta; Magnoliopsida; Lamiales; Lamiaceae
Description: long non-coding RNA (SMIL_LNC001336)
Source: RNAcentral